This 332-nucleotide unclassified non-coding RNA is filed under the name soil metagenome. RNAcentral describes it as "partial contains 5.8S ribosomal RNA, internal transcribed spacer 2, and large subunit ribosomal RNA". The stretch from base 1 to 120 matches the Rfam family "5.8S ribosomal RNA", at positions 35 to 154 of the family's 154-position model. The record is from RNAcentral.
GAUGAAGAACGUAGCAAAAUGCGAUAAGUAAUGUGAAUUGCAGAAUUCAGUGAAUCAUCGAAUCUUUGAACGCACAUUGCGCCCGCCAGUAUUCUGGCGGGCAUGCCUGUUCGAGCGUCAUUUCAACCCUCAAGCACAGCUUGGUGUUGGGACUCGCGUUAAUUCGCGUUCCUCAAAUUGAUUGGCGGUCACGUCAAGCUUCCAUAGCGUAGUAGUAAAACCCUCGUUACUGGUAAUCGUCGCGGCCACGCCGUUAAACCCCAACUUCUGAAUGUUGACCUCGGAUCAGGUAGGAAUACCCGCUGAACUUAAGCAUAUCAAUAAGCGGAGGA